Molecule: ribosomal RNA, 474 nt
Filed under: uncultured bacterium
Lineage: Bacteria
Description: bacterial SSU rRNA
Rfam family: Bacterial small subunit ribosomal RNA
Source: RNAcentral
UGCAAGUUCGAGCGGUAGAGAGGAGCUUGCUCCUCUUGAGAGCGGCGGACGGGUGAGUAAUGCCUAGGAAUCUGCCUGGUAGUGGGGGGUAACGUUCGGAAACGGACGCUAAUACCGCAUACGUCCUACGGGAGAAAGCAGGGGACCUUCGGGCCUUGCGCUAUCAGAUGAGCCUAGGUCGGAUUAGCUAGUUGGUGAGGUAAUGGCUCACCAAGGCGACGAUCCGUAACUGGUCUGAGAGGAUGAUCAGUCACACUGGAACUGAGACACGGUCCAGACUCCUACGGGAGGCAGCAGUGGGGAAUAUUGGACAAUGGGCGAAAGCCUGAUCCAGCCAUGCCGCGUGUGUGAAGAAGGUCUUCGGAUUGUAAAGCACUUUAAGUUGGGAGGAAGGGCAGUAAAUUAAUACUUUGCUGUUUUGACGUUACCGACAGAAUAAGCACCGGCUAACUCUGUGCCAGCAGCCGCGGUAAU